Long non-coding RNA from Megalobrama amblycephala (Wuchang bream), 1037 nucleotides. RefSeq lists it as uncharacterized. NCBI's taxonomy places the organism in Eukaryota, Metazoa, Chordata, Actinopteri, Cypriniformes, Xenocyprididae. The transcript has 4 exons. The record is from RefSeq and is a predicted model, not a curated record.
AAAACUUUACUGUAAAUUUACAGGUAAUUUCUAACAGUAUUAUACUGUAUUUUCAUAAAACAGUAACAUUCUGUAUAUUUUACAGAAUGUCUGUAAAUAUACAGUAGUUUUCUGUUUUCAGCCCGUUUCACUCGUAAUACAGUAUAAUACUGUAGAAGCAUUGCAUUAUGGGAUUGAUUUUUUUACCGUGCUCAUUUCAAAUUUCUAGGCCAGGCAUACAUUUUAGCUUCUCUCUCAACGCUUUUAGUGUUUCACGUCGACUCUUCAGGGUUUAAUGUUAUCAUUAAACGAUAUUUGAGUGAAUAUAGUGUGCAGUUUUAAGCUUUUGAAGCGUCAGUUUGCCUGAGACGCGGGAUGACUGGACAGCGCUGCUGAGAUGUUAUUUUCUGCCUGAUUAAUCAAAACGUUUGCCUGUGUCGAGAAGACGGAUAAACAAUUGUUCGGCUGAGAAUACGUCUCAAUCAUCUGAUGUAGCUCCAUUGUUUACGCUCUUUGACAUAUCCCCUAAACAUGGCUCAAGAACCAGGAAGGGGGGAAAAUGACCUUCUGUGAAAUAUGGUUAUGUUAACGUACUUUGACAUCAACCAUGAACACGGCUCAAGAAACAAGAAGGGAAAGUGACUUCCAAGACUGGCAACACUGUACAAAAAAGGAGCAGUACUGAAAAACUUGUAGGCCUACUUUUUGUUUUUACUCCACAUUUGAAAAAAUGUUAAAUGUAAAUAAGAUUGCUGUAUUGUUCAUUGAUAACUGCUGAGUGCAUUUAAAAUGUUGACCUUUCAACAUUGCAAUUUUCUGCUUUUUUCCAUAAAAAAAUAAUAAAAGUUUUAAAACUCAGAGUGUUGCUUUCCAUUUCCUUUGCCAUAACAUAACAAAAGUAUAUUUUUUAAUUAUUUAAUGACAAAUAUAAGUGUAGUAUGAAAAGCUGUAUAAAUGCAGUUAAUAGCUGUAGAUAAACAGUAUAAUGCUGUAAAAGUACAUAAUAUUACAGCAGGAUACUGUAUUUGAUAAUUACAGCACUAUACUGUAAAAGUUGU